GCCUCCUUAGCUCAGGGGUAGAGCAGCUCCCUCGUAAAGAGCAGGUCGCCGGUUCAAAUCCGGCAGGGGGCUC
RNAcentral lists this transfer RNA (73 nucleotides) under Glutamicibacter uratoxydans. RNAcentral describes it as "tRNA-Thr". It matches the Rfam family "tRNA". From Rfam's summary of the family: Transfer RNA (tRNA) molecules are approximately 80 nucleotides in length. Their secondary structure includes four short double-helical elements and three loops (D, anti-codon, and T loops). Further hydrogen bonds mediate the characteristic L-shaped molecular structure. tRNAs have two regions of fundamental functional importance: the anti-codon, which is responsible for specific mRNA codon recognition, and the 3' end, to which the tRNAs corresponding amino acid is attached (by aminoacyl-tRNA synthetases). tRNAs cope with the degeneracy of the genetic code in two manners: having more than one tRNA (with a specific anti-codon) for a particular amino acid; and 'wobble' base-pairing, i.e. permitting non-standard base-pairing at the 3rd anti-codon position. The record is from RNAcentral. Lineage: Bacteria; Bacillati; Actinomycetota; Actinomycetes; Micrococcales; Micrococcaceae. RNAcentral also lists the same sequence under 3 other names.